CCUACUUCGAGGUCUGCGGAGGAUCCCCUGACACCUCAGUCCCCGCGAUGAGGGGACUGCAGUUGGAGGAACGCGCGUUUCUCUUCCGCUCCCUAAGUUUGGCCUCUGCAGCAGCCGUCACACGCAGGCGCGGAGGUAGCUGGGAAAAGGCAGUUUCCUCACAACGACCCCCGAAGUUUGUGUGUGCCACCGAGUGCUGCAGGUUUGUUUGGCACGGAUUGGAUUGGCAAUCACUUUCAACUUUUGGGGGGAGCUGUUUCUUUCAGUGAUUAGUUUUAUGAUGAUCUGAAGAUAUUUCCUGGAUGUGGACUGUAAUUUUUCAAAACCACGGUGUGGCAAAAGCACUGUAUAGCAUUUGUUGAAAAAUGUUUGGGAGAUUGACUCUUCCACAACUGCUUUUUGCUAGCAUCCUCGGAAUUGCUGGAGGGAUGUAUAUUUAUCAACCAGUAUUUGAACAGUACUACCGAGAUCAGAUGGAAUUAAAAGAAAAGUUGAAAUUGGCACAAGAAUCAGAAGAGAAGAAAAGUUAAUACUACAUGAAGUUGAAAUGUAAUUGUUUAAAGUUCUAUUGAAAUUAUACAUUGACUAUAAAUAAUCUAGUAAAAACUUCUCAAGUAUAUUUUAAACACAAAUAAAUCAUAGGUAAUGAUUUUAAAACAAGC
Neomonachus schauinslandi (Hawaiian monk seal) is the source of this 662-nucleotide RNA transcript. It is a transcript of the gene named PIGB opposite strand 1, with no coding region annotated. NCBI's taxonomy places the organism in Eukaryota, Metazoa, Chordata, Mammalia, Carnivora, Phocidae. The record is from RefSeq and is a predicted model, not a curated record. The transcript has 3 exons.